Molecule: ribosomal RNA, 2987 nt
Filed under: Salmonella enterica subsp. enterica serovar Infantis
Lineage: Bacteria; Pseudomonadati; Pseudomonadota; Gammaproteobacteria; Enterobacterales; Enterobacteriaceae
Description: bacterial LSU rRNA
Rfam family: Bacterial large subunit ribosomal RNA
Source: RNAcentral
UUAAGCGACUAAGCGUACACGGUGGAUGCCCUGGCAGUCAGAGGCGAUGAAGGGCGUGCUAAUCUGCGAUAAGCGCCGGUAAGGUGAUAUGAACCGUUAUAACCGGCGAUACCCGAAUGGGGAAACCCAGUGUGAUUCGUCACACUAUCAUUAACUGAAUCCAUAGGUUAAUGAGGCGAACCGGGGGAACUGAAACAUCUAAGUACCCCGAGGAAAAGAAAUCAACCGAGAUUCCCCCAGUAGCGGCGAGCGAACGGGGAGGAGCCCAGAGCCUGAAUCAGCAUGUGUGUUAGUGGAAGCGUCUGGAAAGGCGCGCGAUACAGGGUGACAGCCCCGUACACAAAAGCGCAUGUGCUGUGAGCUCGAUGAGUAGGGCGGGACACGUGGUAUCCUGUCUGAAUAUGGGGGGACCAUCCUCCAAGGCUAAAUACUCCUGACUGACCGAUAGUGAACCAGUACCGUGAGGGAAAGGCGAAAAGAACCCCGGCGAGGGGAGUGAAAAAGAACCUGAAACCGUGUACGUACAAGCAGUGGGAGCACAGGUUUACCUGUGUGACUGCGUACCUUUUGUAUAAUGGGUCAGCGACUUAUAUUCUGUAGCAAGGUUAACCGAAUAGGGGAGCCGGAGGGAAACCGAGUCUUAACCGGGCGUUAAGUUGCAGGGUAUAGACCCGAAACCCGGUGAUCUAGCCAUGGGCAGGUUGAAGGUUGGGUAACACUAACUGGAGGAUCGAACCGACUAAUGUUGAAAAAUUAGCGGAUGACCUGUGGCUGGGGGUGAAAGGCCAAUCAAACCGGGAGAUAGCUGGUUCUCCCCGAAAGCUAUUUAGGUAGCGCCUCGUGAAUUCAUCUCCGGGGGUAGAGCACUGUUUCGGCUAGGGGGCCAUCCCGGCUUACCAACCCGAUGCAAACUGCGAAUACCGGAGAAUGUUAUCACGGGAGACACACGGCGGGUGCUAACGUCCGUCGUGAAGAGGGAAACAACCCAGACCGCCAGCUAAGGUCCCAAAGUCAUGGUUAAGUGGGAAACGAUGUGGGAAGGCCCAGACAGCCAGGAUGUUGGCUUAGAAGCAGCCAUCAUUUAAAGAAAGCGUAAUAGCUCACUGGUCGAGUCGGCCUGCGCGGAAGAUGUAACGGGGCUAAACCAUGCACCGAAGCUGCGGCAGCGAACGUAUCACUUAAAGCGAUUCAGCGGGUUACGAUUGACGGAGCGAAGCGACGUCAAAGCGUAUACAAAGUCGAGUCGGUUUAAGGAUACGUUCGUUGGGUAGGGGAGCGUUCUGUAAGCCUGCGAAGGUGGCCUGUGAGGGUUGCUGGAGGUAUCAGAAGUGCGAAUGCUGACAUAAGUAACGAUAAAGCGGGUGAAAAGCCCGCUCGCCGGAAGACCAAGGGUUCCUGUCCAACGUUAAUCGGGGCAGGGUGAGUCGACCCCUAAGGCGAGGCCGAAAGGCGUAGUCGAUGGGAAACGGGUUAAUAUUCCCGUACUUGGUGUUACUGCGAAGGGGGGACGGAGAAGGCUAUGUUGGCCGGGCGACGGUUGUCCCGGUUUAAGCGUGUAGGUGUGUGUUCCAGGUAAAUCCGGUUCACUUUAACACUGAGGCGUGACGACGAGGCACUACGGUGCUGAAGCAACAAAUGCCCUGCUUCCAGGAAAAGCCUCUAAGCAUCAGGUAACAUCAAAUCGUACCCCAAACCGACACAGGUGGUCAGGUAGAGAAUACCAAGGCGCUUGAGAGAACUCGGGUGAAGGAACUAGGCAAAAUGGUGCCGUAACUUCGGGAGAAGGCACGCUGACAUGUAGGUGAAGUGAUUUACUCAUGGAGCUGAAGUCAGUCGAAGAUACCAGCUGGCUGCAACUGUUUAUUAAAAACACAGCACUGUGCAAACACGAAAGUGGACGUAUACGGUGUGACGCCUGCCCGGUGCCGGAAGGUUAAUUGAUGGGGUCAGCGCAAGCGAAGCUCCUGAUCGAAGCCCCGGUAAACGGCGGCCGUAACUAUAACGGUCCUAAGGUAGCGAAAUUCCUUGUCGGGUAAGUUCCGACCUGCACGAAUGGCGUAAUGAUGGCCAGGCUGUCUCCACCCGAGACUCAGUGAAAUUGAACUCGCUGUGAAGAUGCAGUGUACCCGCGGCAAGACGGAAAGACCCCGUGAACCUUUACUAUAGCUUGACACUGAACAUUGAGCCUUGAUGUGUAGGAUAGGUGGGAGGCUUUGAAGUGUGGACGCCAGUCUGCAUGGAGCCGACCUUGAAAUACCACCCUUUAAUGUUUGAUGUUCUAACGUGGACCCGUAAUCCGGGUUGCGGACAGUGUCUGGUGGGUAGUUUGACUGGGGCGGUCUCCUCCUAAAGAGUAACGGAGGAGCACGAAGGUUGGCUAAUCCUGGUCGGACAUCAGGAGGUUAGUGCAAUGGCAUAAGCCAGCUUGACUGCGAGCGUGACGGCGCGAGCAGGUGCGAAAGCAGGUCAUAGUGAUCCGGUGGUUCUGAAUGGAAGGGCCAUCGCUCAACGGAUAAAAGGUACUCCGGGGAUAACAGGCUGAUACCGCCCAAGAGUUCAUAUCGACGGCGGUGUUUGGCACCUCGAUGUCGGCUCAUCACAUCCUGGGGCUGAAGUAGGUCCCAAGGGUAUGGCUGUUCGCCAUUUAAAGUGGUACGCGAGCUGGGUUUAGAACGUCGUGAGACAGUUCGGUCCCUAUCUGCCGUGGGCGCUGGAGAACUGAGGGGGGCUGCUCCUAGUACGAGAGGACCGGAGUGGACGCAUCACUGGUGUUCGGGUUGUCAUGCCAAUGGCACUGCCCGGUAGCUAAAUGCGGAAGAGAUAAGUGCUGAAAGCAUCUAAGCACGAAACUUGCCCCGAGAUGAGUUCUCCCUGAGACUUAGAGUCUCCUGAAGGAACGUUGAAGACGACGACGUUGAUAGGCCGGGUGUGUAAGCGCAGCGAUGCGUUGAGCUAACCGGUACUAAUGAACCGUGAGGCUUAACCUU